AUCUUCUCACGGUCUUCUUGACUGCAAGCAGCCUUGCUGAGGGCAGCUACGGGAAUCCCGUUGCCAGAGAUGAGCAGGGAGGCUCAUGGGAAAUCAUCGGAAAUCUUCAUUACUCACUGUGGCGGUCAGUAAUGGGGGUCCGAGUCCAGUGUGUUUGGAGGAGCAGCCGCGGAAAAGGCUACAUUGUAACGGGACUCGCAUUCCCUCUGCGCGCGCCUACAUUGUAACGUCAUGUAACGGAAGUCACAUUCCAGCAGGAGGGGCGGGGGAGGCGCGUUCCCGACGCCACUUUUCCGUCGGUCGUGAGCAGCUCGAGCUGGACUUUCACGGUCGUUUUGUGAGGUCAGAUGAGCGGAGCGACGUGGAUCGUGGAGCUCUGCGGCUUUCCCGCGGACCGAGGUGAGGGGUCCAGGCAGGAGAACCGGGUAGGACCCGAGCGGCUCUGUUUUAAAAAUCAUCUCGAAUCUAAGGGAAAAAAGGCACGAAACUCUGCGAACGGAAAUGACUUCGCGUGCGCCGGCCGGGUGCUCUCCCCGCGGUCCGUUUUCAGGGAGCGCGUGAACCUCGCGCCGUCCCCGCUCCUCCGGACUCCGGAGCCGCUGAUCUCGAGCGCGAGAUGUUCGCAGGGAUGGUGAAGCUCGAGAGGCGGCCGCCGGGCACGAGCGCAGCAGGUGCUCCGGCUGCGGUCCCAGUGGGACUGAGCUCCAGGAGGAGGCUUCCCAGGAGACCGGGGUACAUGAGGGCGGAUCUUCUUGGGACACUUCAGAGCACCGCCCAAGAGGAUGGGCAGAGGUCCACCCUGACCAAUGGAGAGGCUUCCUGUCCUCUGAUUGACAACCCUAUGGACAAGUCCCAGCAUGGCCCCCCAGCCUCUGGUCCUGGCUGUGUCUCACUGCAACUGAACCCUGUUAUACCAACAUUUGUCCCUCCUGCUGGGGGAUCCAGGGAUGGGUCCUUCCUCCAGGGCAGGGACUUGUCCUUCACUCUUUCUCAACAACCCAGCAGGCUGAAUGUUGCUGACCCUACCCUAAGGGACAGUUCUGGGCUGCGGAGUAAACCCAGGUUCGAUCCAGGAACACAUGUAGCCCCUUUGUCCCCAAACCAGCAUUCAGCUAAGCGUGACCGUUUCAACUCCAGUUUCAGUUUCAUCCGGUUGUCUCUGAAUUCGGCUCAGGGGAUGGACGGCUCUACAGGGUCCCCUGAGCAGUCAGAGGACAGACCUGUCUCGCCAGGAAAAUGGGGACCCGUGUUCGUCCCCUCAGGUCAGUUGGAGCCCGCAUGUCCUUCACUGAAGCCUGGACUCGCCCACAGCACCGAUUCCAGUUCCCUGCCCGUGUCUCCAGAAGUAGAGCGGUCCAUCUGUCCAGAACCAUGGCGGGAGCCCCCUGCAGGCCCCGCCGACCGCAGGGACGCCCUCCCAGACGCCGACUCCUGCUCCCUGGAUGCGGAGGCCUCCUCCUCUCUGUCGGUGGACUCCUCCGACGCUGCAUCGGGCUCCUCGGUCACCUCUGGAUACGAGAGCGCCACGCCCUGUUCCGACCGCGCCUGGGAGGCUCUGGCGAAAAAAUACGAGAGCGUCCUGCAGGACAGCCUGCAGAGCAAUCGUACGAAUGCCAAGAUUGAGUCCAUGAUGCUAAAGCUGCAGCGGCUCCAGCAGAAGGCCGUCCUCGAGGACGACUACGACACCGCGGAGCACUUUGGGAACAAGCUGGAGGAGCUGCGCCGGGAGAGGGGCUCCUUGACGCUGGGCCUGCCGUCCCGCCACCCCACCGUGGAGCGUUUCCUGGGGCGCCUGCGUGUUCGGGUGCGGAGUGCCAUGCAGGGGGCUGCAGGACACCGUGGGGAGGGUGCCGGGUGUCCUGGGGAAGGGGGUGGAGCCUCGCACCUGGAAGUCCUGCAGCGCCCCUUGCUGAGGAGAGAGCAGCUGCGCAAAGAGAAGCAGCUUGUGGAGGAUGAGAUGCGGGAGCUGCAGCGCCGCCUAGCGGAGCUACGGGAGCGGAACGCGCAGCUGGAUCGGGACCUCGAGCAGGAGGAGUACCUGCUGGAGGGCGAGGAGGACGAGGGUCCGGCCCUGAGCGGCUGUAGCCCCACCCAACUGCACGAGCUGUCCCGGGCCCUGGAGGACACGGUGACCUCGCAGCACCGGGCACAGAUCUGCACCAACCUGCCCCUUCCGGUUCUCAGGCUGCAGGAGCGAGAACGGACCCUCAACACGUCCAUCAAAGAAGCUACGGCCAAAGUGGUGAUGAGUCAGAGACUGGGCGGCAGCCUGCGGCGGAAGGUCAGCGAGAGCGAAACGCAGCUGCUGGCGCUGCACGAGGCCAAGAUCGCCGCCAUCUCAGGGAACGACUUCUCCAGCGCCAAGGAGCUCAAGGCCGAGAUGAAGUGUGCGUACGGAGAGCGGGAGCGACUCGAGGGCCUGCUGAAGAGGCUGCAGGUGCUGAGCGCCGGGAACAGCCGGGAGUUGGCGCACAUGAAGGAAGAGCAGCUCCUCGUGAAGCAGGAGCUGGCGCGCCGGGAGGUGCAGUUCGAAAAGACGCUGCGAGAGAACGUGGAGAAGUACGUAGAGCUUCUAGAGGACCGGCUGCACAGCUGCGGUAACCUGGCGGUGGAGCGGGUGUGGGAAGCAGACCUGGAGGCGUGUCACCUCUUGCUCCGUGGCCUGCGGCUGCGAUCGCCCGGCUGCUGUGGUCCCGAAGCGGAGGAGGAGGAGGAGCCGCCGGGGGCGGAGCCGCAGACCCCGAGCCCACCCUGCGUCCAGCAAACGCCGGACUGUGCCAUGCUCACGGCGCUGGGGGGCCGCUGGUGCCCGGAAACCGACCUACAGCACUCCGAAUUCACCAAGGUAACAGUCUGCUUGCGCGCUGCUUAUCGGUACCGCUGUUUUUACCAUUGGUGGCCAAAGAGCAGCGGGUGGAAUAUUUCAGCUGCUGCCCCUUGAACUGCGAAGAGCCGAGGUUCAAAUCCCACCUCCUGCUGUAGUAUCCUUGAGCAAGGUACUUGGCCUGAAUUGCCCCGAUUGAAAUUACCCAGCUUUAAGUCGGUAAAUCUGCGUACCUUAACGUCGCAAGUUGCUUUGGGGACAGAAAAAUGAUGGAUAAAUGUAAAAGUUAAUAUAAUGGGGACACAGGAACAUCUGGACAGAGGCAGCUGAACGGAUGGCCCAUGUGUACAGAACCCCACCUAGGCUGUCCAGAAUGGUGCGAGGAGGAGGAUUUCGGAUGAUUUUCUGCAGUGUGUGUGUGUUCUAAGUGUAACAGUUGCUGUUUGAACCCCAAGGGAUGACUCUGACAGCCUCAGCGAGUAAUUUCCAGACAAUAUGACUCUCUCUGAGCCCUAACCCUCCCCCGCUCUCUGGUGUACACCCCCCCCACUGGCCCAGCCGGACUUGCUGACCUUUGCGGCGCUUUCCCAUGGUUAGGCGAGCGUCGGUCCGUCGUGACCGGGAUCGCGGCCGGGGCCUCUCGCGGCAGGGCCGCGCCGUCUGUCGGCGGAGUCCCGGGAAAGUCGGUCCUCGCUCAACGCUGACCAGAGGGCGCCCGGGCUGGCUGCGCCUCCGCUCGACAGCAAAUCCCACUAUUCAUUAUAUCUCGCCGAAAGCGUGUCUGAAUAGCCGGCAACUCGUAAGAAAUAUUUCAAGGGGUGCGGUGGCUGACGGUGCGAAGCCCGGCGGUAACGUGAUGCGUCUCACUUCCUCGUACUCCGGCGACCAGCUUUCCGUUAGAACGUGGAAUCAGACGGUGUCAUUUCAGCCAGUUGCAUCAUUGGCUCCGAGUAUUUUCGCACGGUAACUUUUCCCGUUACAACAAUGUUAUGAGAAAUAUUCAAACAUUCAAAGUAAAUAAUAAAUAUUUAAUCAUCCCCACCCGUCGUCGUUUUUUUUUUUUCGGGUUGACUUUAGUCCCUCUGAGAAAGCGAUCGAAUCCCCUCCUCGCUGUUGUGUUUGAUGUGUGGUUUUACCCGUCAUAGCGUGGUACAGCGCGGUACGGCGCAACACGUUAAAUUUAUCACUUCGCUUUCCGAGCUGAAAAACACACCAGGCGGGAAAAUUCCCCCUUUCCCCUCAGUUUGCCCAGUGCCGCCCGGCUCGUUUCCCUGCUUCGCUCCUGAUCUCCCCUCCCCCCCCUCCCCUCCCUUGACUGACUCAACGCUGACCGUGCUGUUGGAAGAUUUACCGCUCUGCUCUCAUACUUCUCCACCUCUCAGUUCUUCAUCGUUCUGUCCAACCGUGUGCACUAACCUGACUGCCGUAUUGCCCGAGUUCACCCUCUGUCCUGCACGCCUGUCUCCUCUUCUCUCUGUCCUCCACGAAGACGGCCUUCUCCUCCUAACCUCCCCCACUCUCGCCAGGGGACCUGGAGAAAUUGGAGGAAUUC
Molecule: RNA transcript, 4376 nt
Organism: Scleropages formosus (Asian bonytongue)
Lineage: Eukaryota; Metazoa; Chordata; Actinopteri; Osteoglossiformes; Osteoglossidae
Gene: disc1
Gene name: DISC1 scaffold protein
Exons: 12
Source: RefSeq, a predicted model, not a curated record